CAGCCGCCGCGGUAAUACGGAGGGGGCUAGCGUUGUUCGGAAUUACUGGGCGUAAAGCGCACGUAGGCGGAUAUUUAAGUCAGGGGUGAAAUCCCGCAGCUCAACUGCGGAACUGCCUUUGAUACUGGGUAUCUUGAGUAUGGAAGAGGUAAGUGGAAUUGCGAGUGUAGAGGUGAAAUUCGUAGAUAUUCGGAAGAACACCAGUGGCGAAGGCGACUGACUGGACAAGUAUUGACGCUGAGGUGCGUAAGCGUGGGGAGCAAACAGGAUUAGAUACCCCAGUAGUCCCUGUCUCUUAUAC
This 301-nucleotide ribosomal RNA is filed under the name uncultured bacterium. RNAcentral's name for it is "partial 16S ribosomal RNA". It matches the Rfam family "Bacterial small subunit ribosomal RNA", at positions 509 to 807 of the family's 1533-position model. The record is from RNAcentral.